Brassica rapa (field mustard) is the source of this 8156-nucleotide long non-coding RNA. RefSeq lists it as uncharacterized. The record is from RefSeq and is a predicted model, not a curated record. NCBI's taxonomy places the organism in Eukaryota, Viridiplantae, Streptophyta, Magnoliopsida, Brassicales, Brassicaceae.
UUUAUAUAUUUAUUAAAAUCCUAAAUUUUACAUUCCAAAUACCCUAUCACACCCCUCAACUCUAACGCUAAGUUUAAAUUAGUUAACCAUAUGGGUAUAAAUAUCUUUUACCUUUCAUUAAAAAUAAUGGUAAAAAUGCUUAGUGUAAACAUGAAAAGUGGUAUUAUGAAUAUGAUAUUUAUGAGAAUUUCCCAAUAUAUUUAUAGUUUAGUUCAUUUUUAUUGUUGAUAAUAAUUAACAUGUAACAAACAAUAAUAUAUAUCUAUUAUAUAUAAGAAAUUUUAUUUCUAGAUAUUUAGUUAACAUAUUUUAUAUUUUCACAUUUACUAUAAAAUGAUGAUUAAUUAAUUAAUUUAAAUAGUUAGUUGCAUUUGUCUUGCAUUAUUGGUUUGAUAUGUAUGUGUUCUGCAUUUUAUGUUGGUUCUGCGUACCAUUAUUGAUUUGCAUUUUAUCUUGUGAGUUACCGUCUCUAAUUCUCUAUUUACAUAUAUCUUAAACUAAAGGGUGUCUUAGAGCAUCUUCAAUUUAUUAUUCUAUUUUUUAUUCUAAAAUGGUGCAACACAUAAAUAGAAUUAGAUUUUACUCUUAUGUGUUACUCUAUUUUUUUAAAUAAUUACUAAUACUUUCCACUUAUGAAAAUUACCAAUUAACCCAACUAUCUUAUGUUUAUAAAAUAUCUCUUAUGUUUAUAAAAGAUCUACUACGUUUAAAAAAUAUCCACAAAAAUAUAUAUUUAUUUACAUUAAAGAUUUAUUAUUAAAAAUACAGUAAAACACAAAAUAUAUAUAUAAAAUAGCAUAUUUUGGUUCAAUAAUGAAUAUUAAAAUAUUUGUUCUCACAAAUGCUCAACUAAUGCAUUUCAUCAUGAAUAAUGAGUUUAUUUAUCUAUGAUUUUCUUAAAUUGAGCAACAAAAAAACUAAAUUGGACAUUUCAUCGUUUGAGCAAUACUUCACCAAUCAUGGCUAUUCCAAAAAUGAUUUACCGGAUUAUUAAAUAACUUAUUUUAUAUUUUUUACGUUUAGGUUGGUAUUUUUAAUUAGCUUAUACAUCUAUAUGUAAGAGUAUUAAAUAAUCUCUUGUGGAGUAUCAUAUUUCUUUUCAUGUUAUUAUAUUAUUUUAAGUAUUAUUUAAGUAUCAAAUAAAAACACUUAAAUUUAAAAGAGCAUCGUAUAAAUAAAUAAAAAAUCUAUCUCCAAAAUGGAAUAGGGUUGGAACAUAUUCUAUUCCAAAAUAAAUUUGAAUCAGAAAAUAUGACAUUUUUUCAAAUUUUUUUGUUAUUGUAUCUAGCAUUUAUAAAUUCUAUAUGAAAUCCAAACUUAUUGGAUUAGUCAUUUGUAUAAAUUCUCUUAAAUUCAAACUUAUUGAAAAAAAUAUGGAUAUUGUCAAGAAAAUCCAUGAAAUGGAAUUUGGUAGGAUUUGGAUGAUAUUUUAUAGUGAAAAUAUCACAUCCUAUGAUGGUAUUUGAAACUUUUCUAAAAGUAAAAAAAAAAAAUCAAAUUGUUUGAAAUGAAAAAAAAAUAUUUAUUUGAAAAUCGAUCCUUAAAAUAUUUUAAUUUUUUAUAUAUCUCAUAAAUGAUAAAAUAGCACAUUAUAGUAAUUUAAAAAUAAAAUAUUAAUUGACAUAAAUAUUUAAAAAUUUAAGAGAAAUUUAAAAAAUCUGAAGUUUCUUCAAAAAAACAUAUAAUUUGUAACAAAUUCUAUUAAGAUUUACUUAAAUCUCAGAACUUUUUUUAUUUACUAUCUUGAAUUCUUUCAAAUCCUUAAUUCAAUAGCCCCUAAACUUUACAUCAAAAAAAAAAAAAAAAGCCCCUAACUUCAAACAUGCACACAUAUGGUGACUAAAUCAUUUAUUUUAUUAACAUGUAGGCACGUUCGUGUUGCUUGUAACCAACGUACCAAAAGUAGAGAGUCGUAGCAUAUUACCAGUCUGCGGAAAUAAAGAAGGAUGCGAUGGCAUAGGUGUAGUGACAACAACAGACAGGAAAAGUAACGUGUCAGACGUGGAUUUGUGACAUUUUUUUAACUACAAAAAUUAUUGUAGAAAGAUUGUUAUUUGUGUUUCAGAAAAAAAAAGAUUGUUAGUAUUUGUAAAGGAUAACAGUCAUACCGUAACUGGCUGUUGGAAAACAGUGGAUUGCACAAAUAGAUUAGGCUUAUCGCUAAUUUUUUAUAAGCUUUUAGGAAAAUGUAAUGCAUUAAUGGAAUAAGCUAACUUUAGGGAAAUUCUAUUUUCUAGAUCUGUAAUCGACGUAGGCAGAAGAUGCUUUGCUAUUGACCUAUUGUGCUAACACAAUUAUUGGCCAACAACGAUAGUUUUUGUUGUUGUUAUGAAUGCAACUACAAACAACAACAAGGCGAAAUAUUUAUAAAUUACUCGAAACAGUAUCGUCCACUAAUAUCCUUUUUAUUAAUAUGGACAUGAAAUUAUUUACUCUCGUUUUAUAUAUCUUUUUCUUUGUCAUCAAAAUAAAAUCUUAUCAGCAAAGUAAAUAAUUGUGAUAUCAAAUGAAAAUUGUAUAUUUAAACGAUAUGAAUUGUAUAACAAAUAUGAUAUAAAAAGCAACCAAAAAUGGAAAAAGUAUCAUCCUUCUUCCGGCUAAUUAACUAAUCUCAACAAUAUGUACUUAUGUAUCAAUUAAUUGUGAUUGGUUAGUCAAAAUAAGGAUGAUUACUUAUUUAAUAUUAUUAAAUAUUAGAUGAACCUUAUAACCAUUUCUAGAUGUUUUCUAACAUUUGUUCUUAUCACUUUAUCUAUUUCUUCACUUCAUUCCUAUAAAAUGUGAUUUAUUUCUUUUAUACUUAAAAAGAACAAGAUCAUAUAAAAUAACUAAUGAACUAAAAUAGAAAAUGAAAGAUUGGUAGAGAAUGAAGUGUCGAUAUUUUAUUUGAUAUACAUUGCUAUCUUUUUCUUUAUAUUCUUUUCUCUUAUUAUAUGUGAAAUAACAAUUUAAACCAUAUGGGUUAUAAGUUACAAGUACAAUAAUAUGGGCUGAAUUCUUUACUUAAUGCAAAAGUCUACAAUUUGGGUGAUUAUUAUAAAAAUUAUUGAUAGCAAAUUCCGAAAGAAAAAAGGGACACUAUAAAUAGCGAAGUUAUUGAUAUGUGAUUUUGAUGUAUACUUAAUCACAAGAAAAUGGCGUCAAAAGCAAUUUCCAUGUUCCUCCUUUCGCUCGUUCUUCUUUAUGCAUCGUUGGCAAACAUACCGACCGCAAAGACCGCAAAAGCUCAGUCUUUUAUGUUUGACCCAUGCAAGAUAUCAGAAGAAUGUGAUGCCGCCAAUUGCGCAAGCGGGGAAGCUCUAUGCAUAAGGGAACAAUGCCAUUGCAUCAGUUCAUCAAAUCAUCUUGCGAAACUUAACAAACUAAGUGAUUUAAAUCCAUGCAAGGUGAAGAGUGAUAUAUAGAUAUAGUGAUUAUCAUUCUCUUAUGCUGUUGAAAUGUCCCUUAGUGUCUUAUUUGUGUUUUGAUGGCCUUUGUUCUAUAUACUAUAAACAUUCUUAGAUCUUAGGAGGAAUUUGUCAUCUUGCAAUAAUGGCAAAGAGAUUCAGAUAGGAUUGUGUUUUGUUUAAAAUGGAAGACUUAGCAUCUAUGAGAAUUGAUAUUUAAGACAGCAAGUACCUAGCUAUGUUGCCAAGUGGAUAUACAGAAUACAUUCAGAGGAUACAUUUAUAACUUUGCUAAAUUACAGAUUAACAUUACUAGACUACACACACAUCCAAUUAUCCAAUAUCAAAAUUGUGCAUGGUACCAGAUUUAGCUUAUAUCAAAAAAACAUUUAGAAUAUAUAACAAACUCAGUUUUUUAUACAACUGAAGAAUUUUAUUUUUAUUUUAACACGAUUCUUCCAUUUUAUCUUCCCAAUGGGGACAUCAUUAGUCCAUGAAACUGAUGAAAUAGAUGCCAAUUAUAUUUUGUAUUAAAAGUCUUUAAAAAACAGUCAUUAGUCAAACAUAACAAAAUCUUGUUUUGACUAAAUUUUUUUUCACUUUUUCUUUAGUACAAAACUCCAAAAGUGAGCUUAUUUUACAACGUGUCCAAAAGCUAUAAAAUCAUUUCAAAAAAUAAAUAGUUCACUUAAAACUGAAUUUCAAACGAAAUACACCAAGGUUUUUUUUUUUUUGAACAAACACACCAAAGUUUAAAGGGGUGAAUUGAGGUCAAUUGAGAUUUCUUUUUUUUUUUCUUUUUUUUCUUCUUCCAGCUUAUUUGUUUCAUCGUUUAAUAAAGAAAUUACUUAAAAUGAGGUUAGACAGAAGAUUCAUUCGGGUUAUGAAGUCAAGGUUCGGGAAAAUCUGUGGGUCCUAACGACUCCCGCGAGACCAGCUGUCCCAGUGGCGCCAGUUAUAAAUCCCAAUAUGAGAGUGAGUGAUUUCAUUAAUCAGGAGUCGAAGGAUUGGGAUAUGAGCUUAUUGGAGAGUUAUGUCAAUAUGGAUGACAUCCCACUUAUAAGGAGUUUGGCUAUAAGCUCAGCUCACCGCCGAGACACCUUUUGUUAGAACUACACAAGGAAUGGACAAUACACGGUCAAAUCAAGAUACUGGGUAGCUAGGAAUCUAUUAAAACCAGAGGUGGAAAAGGAGGUCAUGGAGCCAAGUAUUACCGAACUCCAAGCCUUUGCUUGGAAGUUAAAGGUGCCUAAGAAGAUAUGCCAUCUUAUAUGGCAAUUGUUAACUGGCCAUGUGUUAGUUACAAGGAACUUAGCACGACGAAAUAUGAGGUGUGAUAACUACUGUCCAAGGUGUGGAGAACUAGAUGAGUCUGUGACACACGCGAUUUUUGAGUGCCCGCCAGCUCUACAAGUUUGGUCUUUAUCAUCAACUCCAACGAGCCCAGGGAUAUUCCCAGUCCCGAGCAUCUACACAAAUAUGGACUAUCUAUUCUGGAGGAAAACGCUAUCAUUGAGCCAGAACAAGACAUGGAUCCUUAUCCCUGGUUAAUUUGGUACAUUUGGAAGGCCAUGAAUGAUAAACUAUUUAGGGGGAUAGACAGAGAUCCUUUUGAGCUAGUCCGAUAUGCAGAAAGCGAAUGUCAAGCAUGGUUUGAGGCAAACAAGGUGGUACAACCAGUGGUACAAGACAUUAAUGCUGAGGAAUCCCAAGUCAUAAGCUUGGGUAAUAUUUGGUUGUUAGAUGGAUCUUGGACAGCUUCUGCUCAUUUUAGUGGAUGUGGAUGGGUUUAGAUUACCUUGUUUGCCUCAAACCAUUCAACUUAUGGGGACAAGGAACUUCAUUCGACGGGAAUCAGCUUUGCAUUCAGAAGUAGAAGCACUGCAGUGGGCAAUAGAGAACAUGCUUCAACAUUCGACAUGCCAGAGCUUUGGAACAAAUUGCAAGGAACUGAUUGCAAUGAUAAAGGAUCCUCAUGCUUGGCCAAGCUUUGCGAUGGAGUUGGAGAGGAUUGAGACGCUUCAGAUUUGUUUCCCGGACUUCAACAUCAUUUAUGUUCCACGAGCGCGCAAUCAGACUUCAGAUUUUUUUAGCUAAGACGCUAGAUCCUUCCAUAGGGAGUUUUUUUUAUUGGUUGUUCUAUCCCGGUCUUGUCACCCAGACCACCUCAAGAUUGAGUAAUAGAAUGGCCUUUUGACGUCAAAAAAAAAAAACGAAAUACACCAAUCUAUACUGAAAUUAAUUUAUCUUUUAUGAAACCUAAAAAUAGUGUCUCAGCGGGUCGGAUCCGUCCUGCUUGACCCGCCCUGUGGAGGGUUGAUGGUUUUGUUUUGAAUAUCCAGAUAUAACGGUUACAUUUGAAAAGGAAGAAGUAUAAUUUUUUCUUCUUUUCUUUGCAAUUUUUAAUAUAAAGAAGAGAAUUCUCUCCUUAGAAGCUGCCACGUCAGAAAAGGGGUUCUUCUCGCAGUGACAUGUGUCUUUUUCAGUCAAGCCGCUGCGUUUCAUUAUGUGCAGUUUGUUUGAGAUAUUGUUCUGGUCCAGCUUCGUUUUAACUUCUUCGAGCCCAGCCCCUUUAUCAUCUCCACUAGGUGAAACGCCGCGCUGUCGUUUAGGGUUCCACCAAUGUUCUUCUUCUUCGCCUCUCCAAAGCUCAUGGCGAUUUCGGAUUCGCAAGCGAUCUUUCAUCUUCUUCAUCACAGAACGAAAGGAUACCAGUUACCGAAUAAUCCUUUUUAAACCUCCAUUAAUCUAUCUACAAUGCUCUAUAUUCAAUGUGAGCUCUGAUUCUGCAAGGCGGUGGAGGUUCUACUAUAAAAAGGUGAGCUUUCCUACUUUGAGAAUCAUCUCCUCAUUCGUUCUAAACUAAAGAUUAAAACUAAUUCUGUGAGCUGUGGCUAACGUUUCGGUUUUCCUCUCUGAUUUGCAGACGGGCAACUCAUCCUCCACUGUUCAAGUCCGGUUGUUCCAUCUCUGGAAAGCCAGGAAUGUCCGCCGUGGUGUGAGAUCAUGAGAGUGGAUAUGCUCCUACUGGAUUCUCAUGUCUCUUCUUUAACUCCGCCUAUAGUUUAUGAGCAGAUUUAUUUCACCGGUUUAAUGCUUUAGACAUUUCCAUUCUUAAAUUUCAUGAUCAUAUUAGUUUUCAAUUAUUUCCAGCGUUCACAUUCAUAUAUAGAUCUUCAUUGAACAUCUUUUGAAUGAGAUAUUUUAAACCCGUUUGUUGAAUCCCUUAUUUUCACGUUUGUUGAAUCAAAACUUACCGCAGAUGUACAUGAUAAUCAAUGAAAGAAUGAAGAGAUGAUUAGCCCCGCAUUCGCCAUGAAAUCUGUGGAGUUUUGGUUCUGCUUGGUGUUCUAACAUCAGGUAUAGGCGAUCUGAUUUAAUCUCAUUGGUCUUCUCUGUUUUACAAAAAAAAACAUACCUUUGCAAUUAAUCGAUCUGAUCUCCUUUGCAUUAUGUCGUUGUUUCUCAUCUUCAGUUUUUGCAAAAAAGUCAUCUGAUAUGAUAGAGUUGCAGAUUGGUGUCAAGGUAUGCUGAAAAAGCUCACGUCGUCAAAUUUUGGAUGCAAUUGGUACCAACUUCCAUGGUGAAUUUGAUCUCUCAAUCUGCGUGAUUGGAAGAUGACUCAGUAUUGAGUUGUUCAUUUUUACAAUUCAAGCUUCAGAAAUGUGAUGUUUAGACUCACAAAGGAGACAAUAUCAAGGCCCACUAUCGGAAGUUACGGAUUCGCAAGACUACUUAAGAAGGAAUAGAACAAAGUUAGACAGAGAGUUACAAUCAAGACAUAGUCUAUUUAUUUGAAUCAGUCUUGAGAUGCCAAGUACGAGACAGAGCUGCGUUACGAAGCAAAUGUUACGGGGAUGAUAAGUUAUACUCACAUCGGUGAUUUGUCGUGAAUAUCAGCGUACAAGAGCUGUUUCCGUGGUUUCCGGAGUAAGGAAUCAGAUUUGAUGUGGCUCUGGUCUUACAUACUUAGACACUGGUGUUGUUCGCAAGCAAUACUCACUCUUCUUUUUGUUUGAUACACCGAGGGAUUGUGUUGCUGUUCGUGGUGAUAUUGAAGUAUUGAUUAUUAUUAAGAUUGCCUAGAUGAAGUUUGAGUAUUGGUCUCUCUCUUAUAUGAAUUUCUUUGUAAGUAACUCAGAUGUGUUUUAGUAUGAAGUUUAUGAAAAGUGUGUCCAUACAAAGAUAAUUCAAUGCUACCAGAAGUCAAUGGUAAAAUGUAUGAGUUUACACUAUGUUUCAUAAAAUAUAGCAAUAGAGUAUUACAACUAUGUGCUUGGUGGAGAACACUAUUCUCCUUUGUAUGAAAUUAUAUGAUAGUUACAAAAGAACGAGAUACUAUUCUUAAAUGAUUAACCGAAUCUAUUUUAAGAUAAAAUUUAAGAUGACUUUCGUGCCUCUCUUUGAAUUAUCUAAAAAUAUAUGUUCAUUUGAGAUUUAGUUGCUAAGUUCUGUCUGUACAAAUGACUUAGUAUAAUGUUUUUAGCUUUAGGGUGUUUUUAGCUUGCUAAGUUUUGUCUGCACACAUAACAGAAAGUUCUAAACCACUUAAGCACAAAAAAAAAAAAACAGUAUUUUCAUAAUACGACGAAGGUCAUUGUUCAAAACUGAUUAUAUAUAUUAGCGAACAAUAUAGAUGGUGCAAAUAAAUCAGAAAUAGCUCUAAGACGAGGUGGAACAAAAUUGAUUACAUAUAUCAAAAUAAAUUUACUAAUUCUUGAAAAUCUAAAAAUUUAAUAGUUUUAAACCCCAAUAUAAGCUUUAGAUAAC